Molecule: ribosomal RNA, 1377 nt
Filed under: uncultured bacterium
Lineage: Bacteria
Description: partial 16S ribosomal RNA
Rfam family: Bacterial small subunit ribosomal RNA
Source: RNAcentral
CCUUAGAGUUUGAUCCUGGCUCAGGACGAACGCUGGCGGCGUGCUUAACACAUGCAAGUCGAACGGAAAGGCCCUUCGGGGUACUCGAGUGGCGAACGGGUGAGUAACACGUGGGUGAUCUGCCCUGCACUUUGGGAUAAGCCUGGGAAACUGGGUCUAAUACCGAAUAUGACCACUCUCUUCGUGGGGUGUGGUGGAAAGCUUUUGCGGUGUGGGAUGGGCCCGCGGCCUAUCAGCUUGUUGGUGGGGUAAUGGCCUACCAAGGCGACGACGGGUAGCCGGCCUGAGAGGGUGACCGGCCACACUGGGACUGAGAUACGGCCCAGACUCCUACGGGAGGCAGCAGUGGGGAAUAUUGCACAAUGGGCGCAAGCCUGAUGCAGCGACGCCGCGUGAGGGAUGACGGCCUUCGGGUUGUAAACCUCUUUCACCAGGGACGAAGCGCAAGUGACGGUACCUGGAGAAGAAGCACCGGCCAACUACGUGCCAGCAGCCGCGGUAAUACGUAGGGUGCGAGCGUUGUCCGGAAUUACUGGGCGUAAAGAGCUCGUAGGUGGUUUGUCGCGUUGUUCGUGAAAACUCACAGCUUAACUGUGGGCGUGCGGGCGAUACGGGCAGACUAGAGUACUGCAGGGGAGACUGGAAUUCCUGGUGUAGCGGUGGAAUGCGCAGAUAUCAGGAGGAACACCGGUGGCGAAGGCGGGUCUCUGGGCAGUAACUGACGCUGAGGAGCGAAAGCGUGGGGAGCGAACGGGAUUAGAUACCCCUGUAGUCCUGGCCGUAAACGAUGAACACUAGGUGUCGGGGGAAUCGACCCCCCCGGUGUCGUAGCCAACGCGUUAAGUGUUCCGCCUGGGGGGUACGCACGCAAGUGUGAAACUCAAAGGAAUUGACGGGGGCCCGCACAAGCGGUGGAGUAUGUGGUUUAAUUCGAUGCAACGCGAAGAACCUUACCAGGGCUUGACAUCCUGCGAAUCCCUUGGAAACGAGGGAGUGCCUUCGGGAGCGCAGUGACAGGUGGUGCAUGGCUGUCGUCAGCUCGUGUCGUGAGAUGUUGGGUUAAGUCCCGCAACGAGCGCAACCCACGUCGUUAGUUGCCAGCAUUCAGUUGGGCACUCUAGCGAGACCGCCGGUGAUAAACCGGAGGAAGGUGUGGAUGACGUCAAGUCAUCAUGCCCCUUACGUCCUGGGCUACACACGUACUACAAUGCUACGGACAAAGGGCAGCGAACUCGCGAGAGCAAGCAAAUCCCAUAAACCGUGGCUCAGUUCAGAUCGUAGGCUGCAACUCGCCUACGUGAAGGAGGAAUCGCUAGUAAUCGCAGGUCAGCAUACUGCGGUGAAUACGUUCCCGGGCCUUGCACUCACCGCCCGUCA